Molecule: ribosomal RNA, 497 nt
Filed under: uncultured bacterium
Lineage: Bacteria
Description: partial 16S ribosomal RNA
Rfam family: Bacterial small subunit ribosomal RNA
Source: RNAcentral
GAUGAACGCUGGCGGCGUGCCUAAUACAUGCAAGUCGAGCGAACGGACGAGAAGCUUGCUUCUCUGAUGUUAGCGGCGGACGGGUGAGUAACACGUGGAUAACCUACCUAUAGGACUGGGAUAACUUCGGGAAACCGGAGCUAAUACCGGAUGAUAUUUUGAACCGCAUGGUUCAAUAGUGAAAGACGGUCUUGCUGUCACUUAUAGAUGGAUCCGCGCUGCAUUAGCUAGUUGGUAAGGUAACGGCUUACCAAGGCAACGAUGCAUAGCCGACCUGAGAGGGUGAUCGGCCACACUGGAACUGAGACACGGUCCAGACUCCUACGGGAGGCAGCAGUAGGGAAUCUUCCGCAAUGGGCGAAAGCCUGACGGAGCAACGCCGCGUGAGUGAUGAAGGUCUUCGGAUCGUAAAACUCUGUUAUUAGGGAAGAACAUAUGUGUAAGUAACUGUGCACAUCUUGACGGUACCUAAUCAGAAAGCCACGGCUAACUACGUG